UACUUCUCUAUCCUAUUAGGCUAUAUUGAACUUUGAGGAGCAGGAGCAACAUAGUAAGUCUCCUCGUCCAUUUGACCCUUCAGUUUUGGAGAGUUACCUAUUGAAGACACUGCCUUCUUUCAAGCAACUGGAUGACUACAAAUCAAUAAUGGUACCCAUGCUACGAUCUGGACAUUGGACAUUGUAUGUUGUUAAUCUUCAGAUUGGACGCAUACAUGUGUUAGAUUCCAACCCUUAUGGACCAGAGAUGGGUGGGACUAUCUGGAAAAAUUACCAUUGUAUACCUAUGGAUUUGGGUGAUAGGAAGGUUUCAUGGGCCAGGUUAAUGAUGAGUAGGCUCAAUCUAGCUAUUCAAAAUGCUCGACCAAGAUCAGCUCUCCCUGCUUUUUUGAAGUACCCUAUUGAACUCAUGAAUAACUGCCCAACAAUGAAAUUGGGGUCUAAUGAUUGUGGAUUCUUUGUCAUGAGAUAUAUGCAGAACUACGACUACAUGGUUGGAGCUAUGAAUGCAGUCAUUGAUCCGGAUAAUUCAGAGGACAUUCGCUCUCUUGUACUGCAUUACCUAAUAUUCCAUCGACUAAAUAGAAACAGCUUCGUGGUCUCCCAUCUGGAUAGAUUUAAGUUCUCUCAGUAGUAGCCUAGUAUAGUUUACUAUCUUAAUAUUAGUAUGAACAUCAUGGUCUGAUGGCUUUUGGUGGCUUCAAGUUAUCUCAGUUCUAGCUUAGUUUAGGGUAGUGUCACUGAAUGGUGUUCAUGUAAAUAUUGGUCUGUUGGCUUAUGUUAGGAUUUAGAUAAUACUUAUGUCCAUAUGCAGCUCUUAGCAAACUCUUAUAUAUAUCGUACCAGAUAUGUUUUAGAUGGUUAUAUUUAUAUAUGAUAGUUC
This is a long non-coding RNA of Zea mays, 883 nucleotides long. RefSeq lists it as uncharacterized. NCBI's taxonomy places the organism in Eukaryota, Viridiplantae, Streptophyta, Magnoliopsida, Poales, Poaceae. The transcript has 3 exons. The record is from RefSeq and is a predicted model, not a curated record.